GAUGAACGCUGGCGGCGUGCCUAAUACAUGCAAGUCGAGCGAACAGACGAGGAGCUUGCUCCCCUGACGUUAGCGGCGGACGGGUGAGUAACACGUGGAUAACCUACCUAUAAGACUGGGAUAACUUCGGGAAACCGGAGCUAAUACCGGAUAAUAUAUUGAACCGCAUGGUUCAAUAGUGAAAGACGGUUUUGCUGUCACUUAUAGAUGGAUCCGCGCCGCAUUAGCUAGUUGGUAAGGUAACGGCUUACCAAGGCAACGAUGCGUAGCCGACCUGAGAGGGUGAUCGGCCACACUGGAACUGAGACACGGUCCAGACUCCUACGGGAGGCAGCAGUAGGGAAUCUUCCGCAAUGGGCGAAAGCCUGACGGAGCAACGCCGCGUGAGUGAUGGAGGUCUUCGGAUCGUAAAACUCUGUUAUUAGGGAAGAACAAAUGUGUAAGUAACUAUGCACGUCUUGACGGUACCUAAUCAGAAAGCCACGGCUAACUACGUG
This 497-nucleotide ribosomal RNA is filed under the name uncultured bacterium. Its description in RNAcentral is "partial 16S ribosomal RNA". It matches the Rfam family "Bacterial small subunit ribosomal RNA", at positions 28 to 507 of the family's 1533-position model. The record is from RNAcentral.